GCCAGCAGCUAUGUCAACGUGCCACGCACAACUGUCAGCCCACUGUCACUCAGCAGGUGUGAGCCUGGUCAGUACCUGUAUGGGAGACCUCCUGGGAAAAACCAAGGUUGCUGCUGGAA
RNAcentral lists this ribosomal RNA (119 nucleotides) under Lepisosteus oculatus (spotted gar). Lineage: Eukaryota; Metazoa; Chordata; Actinopteri; Semionotiformes; Lepisosteidae. The record is from RNAcentral.